Molecule: transfer RNA, 72 nt
Filed under: Synergus sp. ZJUH_2016033
Lineage: Eukaryota; Metazoa; Arthropoda; Insecta; Hymenoptera; Cynipidae
Description: tRNA-Leu
Source: RNAcentral
AUUAUUAUAACAUAAAUAAUGUAUUAAUUUUAGAGAUUAAUUAUAUAUAAAUUUUAAUUUAUAUUAAUAAUU